Molecule: long non-coding RNA, 470 nt
Filed under: Brassica napus (rape)
Lineage: Eukaryota; Viridiplantae; Streptophyta; Magnoliopsida; Brassicales; Brassicaceae
Description: long non-coding RNA (BNAP_LNC018890)
Source: RNAcentral
GAGAGAGAGAGAGAGAGAGAGAGAGAGAGAGAGAGAUCAGUCACACCUCCUACUAUAUAUAGCGCAAACAUUACUGAGGAAGUGCAAGAACUCCACUUGCUGCUCUGUGAAAAUCACUUGCACCAACACGCAAAAAGUAAAUUGUUAGAAAUGAGGAUAAACUAGUAACACAUGCAUACAAGUAUUCACACACAACAGUGUCUGAUUCUGAGAUACCUUAAUUGGAGAAAGAUCAUAGAAAAAGAAAACACCAGGCAGUAAUUGUGUGCGUCCUGCUUCUGUUUCUCGAAAUGCUCAGCCACAGAGAACUGCCAAGUCCCAACCUUUAAACCCAAUUCUUAGAUAAUAUUACUUCAAAUGGUGUGAGCAGUUUACGGACAAGUUACAGCCAAGUAAGAGGCUCUGAUCUGAGAGGUUUGUUUUCUCACCUGGUUUGACUGAAUAACAUGGCCUUUAACAUCUGUGCAACC